This 647-nucleotide ribosomal RNA is filed under the name uncultured fungus. Its description in RNAcentral is "eukaryotic LSU rRNA". The stretch from base 151 to 304 matches the Rfam family "5.8S ribosomal RNA". The record is from RNAcentral. Lineage: Eukaryota; Fungi.
UCCGUAGGUGAACCUGCGGAAGGAUCAUUACAGUGUUAGGCUUCGGCCUCAUUCACACCCCUUGUUUAACCUCUGGUUUCUUUGGCGAUGUCAAUCGUCAAACUUUAACUCUGAUAAUGUGGUACUGUCCGAGUCCAAUUGAAUUAUCAAAACUUUCAACAACGGAUCUCUUGGUUCCAGCAUCGAUGAAGAACGCAGCGAAAUGCGAUAAAUAAUGUGAAUUGCAGAAUUCCGUGAAUCAUCGAAUCUUUGAACGCAUAUUGCGCCCAAGACUUCGGUCAAGGGCAUGUCUGCCUCAGCGUCGGUUUAUACCCUUGCUUCCCCACUAUGUGGUGUGCACCCCUAAUCGGUUGCCCGGGAGCAGAUCUGGCUUUCCCAAACCACUAUUUAGUGAUUUGGGUUGGCUGAAGUGCAGAGGCUAGAGCUUGGACCCGAUAUGGGCUCAACUGGAUAGGUACCGGCUUGACCGACUACACGAAGUUGAUGCCUGUGGUCUUUGCUGGCGGCCAGCAGGAAACACACCUCGGUGUGCUCUAAACAUUCGACCUGAGGCUCAGGGGGCAAGGAUUACCCGGCUGGAACUUAAGGCAUAUCAAUAAGGCGGGAGGGAAGGUCGGACUGGCCAAGGGGCACACAGGGGGGGGAUA